GAUGAACGCUGGCGGCGUGCCUAAUACAUGCAAGUAGAACGCUGAAGGAAGGAGCUUGCUCUUUCCGGAUGAGUUGCGAACGGGUGAGUAACGCGUAGGUAACCUGCCUGGUAGCGGGGGAUAACUAUUGGAAACGAUAGCUAAUACCGCAUAACAGUAGAUGUUGCAUGAUAUCUACUUAAAAGGUGCAAUUGCACCACUACCAGAUGGACCUGCGUUGUAUUAGCUAGUUGGUGAGGUAACGGCUCACCAAGGCGACGAUACAUAGCCGACCUGAGAGGGUGAUCGGCCACACUGGGACUGAGACACGGCCCAGACUCCUACGGGAGGCAGCAGUAGGGAAUCUUCGGCAAUGGACGGAAGUCUGACCGAGCAACGCCGCGUGAGUGAAGAAGGUUUUCGGAUCGUAAAGCUCUGUUGUAAGAGAAGAACGAGUGUGAGAGUGGAAAGUGCACACUGUGACGGUAUCUUACCAGAAAGGGACGGCUAACUACGUG
This 497-nucleotide ribosomal RNA is filed under the name uncultured bacterium. RNAcentral's name for it is "partial 16S ribosomal RNA". It matches the Rfam family "Bacterial small subunit ribosomal RNA", at positions 28 to 507 of the family's 1533-position model. The record is from RNAcentral.